This 27-nucleotide non-coding RNA is filed under the name Rattus norvegicus (Norway rat). Lineage: Eukaryota; Metazoa; Chordata; Mammalia; Rodentia; Muridae. The record is from RNAcentral.
UAGGAAGUUGCUUAGUAGCCUCUAAAU